This 492-nucleotide ribosomal RNA is filed under the name uncultured bacterium. Its description in RNAcentral is "partial 16S ribosomal RNA". It matches the Rfam family "Bacterial small subunit ribosomal RNA", at positions 29 to 507 of the family's 1533-position model. The record is from RNAcentral.
AGUGAACGCUGGCGGUAGGCCUAACACAUGCAAGUCGAACGGCAGCACAGUAAGAGCUUGCUCUUACGGGUGGCGAGUGGCGGACGGGUGAGGAAUACAUCGGAAUCUACUUUUUCGUGGGGGAUAACGUAGGGAAGCUUACGCUAAUACCGCAUACGACCUACGGGUGAAAGCAGGGGAUCUUCGGACCUUGCGCGAUUGAAUGAGCCGAUGUCGGAUUAGCUAGUUGGCGGGGUAAAGGCCCACCAAGGCGACGAUCCGUAGCUGGUCUGAGAGGAUGAUCAGCCACACUGGAACUGAGACACGGUCCAGACUCCUACGGGAGGCAGCAGUGGGGAAUCUUCGACAAUGGGCGAAAGCCUGACCCAGCAAUACCGCGUGGGUGAAGAAGGCCUUCGGGUUGUAAAGCCCUUUUGUUGGGAAAGAAAAGCAGCAGGUUAAUACCCCGCUGUUUUGACGGUACCCAAAGAAUAAGCAACGGCUAACUUCGUG